UCUUGUGUACAUGCCUACAAUGUUAAUGCAUCGGAUCCCAUCAUAACUCCACAAUUAAGCACGCUUGGGCUAUAGUAGUAUUGGGAUGGAUGACCUCUCAAUAAGUUCUAGUGUUUUACAUGCC
Picea glauca (white spruce) is the source of this 124-nucleotide non-coding RNA. The record is from Rfam. NCBI's taxonomy places the organism in Eukaryota, Viridiplantae, Streptophyta, Pinopsida, Pinales, Pinaceae.